Drosophila pseudoobscura is the source of this 834-nucleotide long non-coding RNA. RefSeq lists it as uncharacterized. The transcript has 3 exons. NCBI's taxonomy places the organism in Eukaryota, Metazoa, Arthropoda, Insecta, Diptera, Drosophilidae. The record is from RefSeq and is a predicted model, not a curated record.
UGCCAUGAAAAUUAAAUCAUUUCGAUUUUUUGUGAAUUUGUUUGCUUUUUUGUGGGAUAAUCAAUUAUUCGGAAUGUGGCAGUGAUUAUCGUGCCACGCCCACGCCGCACAAGGCAUACUAAAUCACUGUGUGAUUAAUAUUCGAUUUGGUUAGGCAAUACGCAUGCAAGGACAGGAUAUCUACCCUGUCUUUUUGGGGACGGAGGCAGGGUUGCCAGCCAGCCGGCGGCUGGAGCGCACGGGUGUUGCCACACUUCUCUGAAGUUUAGAGCUGCACUUUUGACGUUACAAGAUGCCUUUGCCUCUGUUACCGACUGAAUGCCUGCACUGACAAAAAAAAGUUUCGGCAAUCUAGUUUGGAACACCAAGACACUAUAAGCUCUUCCCAGUAUAUUUUAUAUGACAUUCAUGAAGAUAUCAGCAAUACCUAAUUUUGUAUUAUCAAUGGGAACUAAUAUUAUCUGUAUAUCAUAAGUAUUUACCAUGAUACUAUGAUGAUUUUUUCGCUCUGUGUGACACUGGUCAGAGGGUCGGGGCUGAUGGGGCACAACGACGGAUGAGCUAACUGAAAUUUGUCGCAACAAAUGAGGGGAAGGCGGCAGGCAUCCACAAUCCUGAAAUGGGACAAGUUUUUGGCGCGUUAAAUUUAAUGCUUUCGUUUUUGUGUGUGGAGACUAUACAAGAUGUGCAAGAUGUGCCAAAAAUUUGGUCAUACUCUCUGCAAACAAUUCUCCAUCACAUUUUGAGCUGCCCCGUAUUCCAAACUCGAACCCAACCCAAACUCAAACCCCUCUGGCGUAAGGAAAACGCAUUUUGAAAGCUUUUAGCUGUUAA